RNAcentral lists this ribosomal RNA (546 nucleotides) under uncultured bacterium. RNAcentral's name for it is "partial 16S ribosomal RNA". It matches the Rfam family "Bacterial small subunit ribosomal RNA", at positions 355 to 896 of the family's 1533-position model. The record is from RNAcentral.
UGGGGAAUAUUGGACAAUGGGCGCAAGCCUGAUCCAGCCAUACCGCGUGGGUGAAGAAGGCCUUCGGGUUGUAAAGCCCUUUUGUUGGGAAGAAAAGCAUUCGGUUAAUACCCGAUUGUUCUGACGGUACCCAAAGAAUAAGCACCGGCUAACUUCGUGCCAGCAGCCGCGGUAAUACGAAGGGUGCAAGCGUUACUCGGAAUUACUGGGCGUAAAGCGUGCGUAGGUGGUUGUUUAAGUCUGUCGUGAAAGCCCUGGGCUCAACCUGGGAAUUGCGAUGGAAACUGGGCGACUAGAGUGUGGCAGAGGGGUAGUGGAAUUCCUGGUGUAGCAGUGAAAUGCGUAGAGAUCAGGAGGAACAUCCGUGGCGAAGGCGACUGCCUGGGCCAACACUGACACUGAGGCACGAAAGCGUGGGGAGCAAACAGGAUUAGAUACCCUGGUAGUCCACGCCCUAAACGAUGCGAACUGGAUGUUGGGUGCAAUUUUGGCACGCAGUAUCGAAGCUAACGCGUAAGUCGCGCUGGGAGUACGGUCGCAAGACUG